GGUGCUGCUGUUGUUGCCAUGGUUAUGUCCUCAACAUAUUUCUCAACAGGAAUUUCCACCCCAGUAAUGUGUAUGUAACAAUAAGAUUGUUUUUGUUCAAGAGGUUGUAAAGGAUAAAGAGAUAACAGUUUAGUCUGAAGGUGAAGGGAGAGGGAAGAGCUGAUGAAAGUUGCUGAUGAAAGAACAUCUGGAGCCUGAGGAAAGAAAGCCUUGAGACCUUCAACACCAUCUAUUACAACAUCCCGCAUUAAAGUGGUAGGUAAUCGUAGACUCGAACCGA
This is a long non-coding RNA of Mauremys mutica (yellowpond turtle), 280 nucleotides long. RefSeq lists it as uncharacterized. NCBI's taxonomy places the organism in Eukaryota, Metazoa, Chordata, Testudines, Geoemydidae. The record is from RefSeq and is a predicted model, not a curated record. The transcript has 3 exons.